AUUGAACGCUGGCGGCAGGCCUAACACAUGCAAGUCGAGCGGUAACACAGGGAGCUUGCUCCUGGGUGACGAGCGGCGGACGGGUGAGUAAUGUCUGGGAAACUGCCUGAUGGAGGGGGAUAACUACUGGAAACGGUAGCUAAUACCGCAUAAUGUCGCAAGACCAAAGAGGGGGACCUUCGGGCCUCUUGCCAUCAGAUGUGCCCAGAUGGGAUUAGCUAGUAGGUGGGGUAACGGCUCACCUAGGCGACGAUCCCUAGCUGGUCUGAGAGGAUGACCGGCCACACUGGAACUGAGACACGGUCCAGACUCCUACGGGAGGCAGCAGUGGGGAAUAUUGCACAAUGGGCGCAAGCCUGAUGCAGCCAUGCCGCGUGUAUGAAGAAGGCCUUCGGGUUGUAAAGUACUUUCAGUGGGGAGGAAGGUGUUGAGGUUAAUAACCUCAGCAAUUGACGUUACCCGCAGAAGAAGCACCGGCUAACUCCGUGCCAGCCGCCGCCGUAA
RNAcentral lists this ribosomal RNA (504 nucleotides) under uncultured bacterium. RNAcentral's name for it is "partial 16S ribosomal RNA". It matches the Rfam family "Bacterial small subunit ribosomal RNA", at positions 30 to 523 of the family's 1533-position model. The record is from RNAcentral.